This is a long non-coding RNA of Rhipicephalus microplus (southern cattle tick), 1202 nucleotides long. RefSeq lists it as uncharacterized. The record is from RefSeq and is a predicted model, not a curated record. Lineage: Eukaryota; Metazoa; Arthropoda; Arachnida; Ixodida; Ixodidae.
UGUUGGCACAUCAUGCAAUCUUAAUCGGGUAGCACUUAAGCUUACACCAGCUGCAGCAAAAAGCACAUUUCGAUAUGAGUGUUUGUGGUGUGUUGUUUGCAAAGCAAAAAAAAAAAAAAAACUUGUCUUGUGAAUGGCGAUGCCCAUCUCUUGUCUCAAUCUGUUUGUCUGUCUAGAUGCCACAAAACGGGAGGAUGGCACACGUCGCUGAGGAUCACUAAAGUGGAUAUGUUUGCAGACACUCACAUUUGGAUCGGAGGAGCUUAGCGGGUGGAUUGUGAAAAAAAGGUGUGGUGCUGCCCUACCGAGGAUUUGGCAAGGCGCACGCGGCAGGAAGGGGAGAAAAACAAAAAACGUUUUGUUCAGUAGAGCAAGCGCUGGUUCGGGGAGCGCAAGAGGAAUACGGCGCUGGGAGAAGUGGCUUGCACACAAUGGCAGGAGGAGAACACGCCGCGUAGCGCAUAGGAAGGAGCAGCACGCAUCCUGCACACGGGAGACGGAAUUGGCCAUCAGGAAUUCGGAGCCUCAUUUCAGGGUCUCACUCCUGACGAGGAGGAGGACUGACACGCAGGGGUUCAGGACCUGUUUACACGUGUGUGUGGAAUCUGGAUCAAUAGGAAUGGAUGGAAUUCAGGAUUGGAUCCACACAUGGCAGGAUGCAAACAGGUGCCGUAAGAGUUGCGCACAACUGUGGGAUGGAAUGGUGGGGUGGGCUGUUGUGGCUAGGACUAGAUGCAGCUUUGGGAUGGUUGGUGGGCUCUUUUUCUGCAGCUUUUUACAGAGAAGUACUGGUAUUAUAAAGCAGUACUUAUAGCAUUAGCAGUGUACUCUCACUUAACAUUGGGCAAUCAAAUUUAGGUAUACAAUCAAGCCUCAUAACAGUUACAUCUUAUGUGAAAACAAGUUCGUGAUACCUGAAAAUUCGUUAUAAAAUCUAUGUUCCUAACAUUAUAUUUCGAGGCUAGUAGUUUGCAUUUGCUCGGUUGUAAUCGAGGUUUGAGUGUAGCUUAGAGCUGUUUCUAAACAAUCGAUGGUCUUGCUUCAGGACGCAGUUUUUUCAGGACUUGUCAGAGGUGAGUAUGAACAAUGGGGCAGCGUGGGAUCAGUGGCAACUUGGAGGUAUAGCAAUCUAGCCUGUAGACCUUGUGUUAUCAGUCGAGCUCAUGAUUUUGAGGUGGCAUUAAAAUUGACAUCUGGUUUGA